This 513-nucleotide ribosomal RNA is filed under the name uncultured bacterium. RNAcentral's name for it is "partial 16S ribosomal RNA". It matches the Rfam family "Bacterial small subunit ribosomal RNA", at positions 28 to 523 of the family's 1533-position model. The record is from RNAcentral.
GACGAACGCUGGCGGCGUGCCUAAUACAUGCAAGUUGAGCGCUGAAGGUUGGUACUUGUACCGACUGGAUGAGCAGCGAACGGGUGAGUAACGCGUGGGGAAUCUGCCUUUGAGCGGGGGACAACAUUUGGAAACGAAUGCUAAUACCGCAUAAGAACUUUAAACACAAGUUUUAAGUUUGAAAGACGCAAAUGCAUCACUCAAAGAUGAUCCCGGGUUGUAUUAGCUAGUUGGUGAGGUAAAGGCUCACCAAGGCGAUGAUACAUAGCCGACAUGAGAAGGAGAUCGGCCACAUUGGGACUGAGACACGGCCCAAACGCCGACGGGAGGCAGCAGUAGGGAAUCUUCGGCAAUGGACGAAAGUCUGACCGAGCAACGCCGCGUGAGUGAAGAAGGUUUUCGGAUCGUAAAACUCUGUUGGUAGAGAAGAACGUUGGUGAGAGUGGAAAGCUCAUCAAGUGACGGUAACUACCCAGAAAGGGACGGCUAACUACGUGCCAGCAGCCGCGGUAA